Nymphalis io (European peacock) is the source of this 1973-nucleotide long non-coding RNA. RefSeq lists it as uncharacterized. The transcript has 2 exons. Lineage: Eukaryota; Metazoa; Arthropoda; Insecta; Lepidoptera; Nymphalidae. The record is from RefSeq and is a predicted model, not a curated record.
GUUGCGAUAACGCCAUUCACGAAGUCAUUCGUUUCAUUGUCUAAUAUUUUUAAUUGGUAUAAUUGUUGAUGUUUUGCUCGUGUUAAACUUAUAUCUAUAGUUCUUUAGUGCGAGUAACGAAGAAAACCACUUCGAUGGCGAUGAAUAAAACUGCUACACAUAAAUUGUAUACUUGGAAGAUGAAGAGCAAAACUCGAGGAGAACCGAAGCGAAAGUCGAACCCGUUUCCACGCAAAGGGUGGAACCGAAACGAAAACGAAGCUCAUAUGAAUUAAUGGUCUUAAAUCUACUGGUGGUAGAGCUUUGUGCAAGCUCAUCUGGGUAGGUACCACCCACUCAUCAUAUAUUCUGCCGCAAAACAGGAGUACUUGGUAUUGUUGUGUUCCGGCUUGAAGGGUAAGUGAGCCAGUGUAAUUACAGGCACAAGGGACAUAACAUCUUAGUUCCCAAGGUUGGUGGCGCAUUGGUGAUGUAAGCGAUGGUUAAAAUUUCUUACAAUGCCAAUGUCUAUGGGCGUUGGUGACCAUUUACCAUCAGGUGGCCCAUAUGCUCGUCCGCCUUCCUAUACUAUAAAGAAAAAAAAUGGAAUCAGACAACGAGGAAAUCGAAAACUUCGGCAAAUACAUUACAAGCUUAUUGAACAAAUUACCGAAAGCUUUGUGUACGCAAUUAUAAAUGGAUAUAAUCAAUUUGAUUAUGACAGCCAAGUUAAACAAAAUGGCGAAAUAUUUGGCGCCAAAUUUGACAGCUGCCAGUGUUGGAAACACUUCGUAUUUAGUGACGUUACCUAAUGUUCCGGUUGUAACUCGAGCCAGAUAAUAAAACGCUUUAAUAGAGACUCGAGUCUUGCAAAAUUAUAGCGUGAAGUUACAAACAAUUACAAACCUAAAUCUUUUUUUUAAUUACCCAUUGGAUAGAACAUGAGAAUCUUAAUCUCAGCGAGGAAUGUGUUUAAGAACCAAUAGAAUCACUUAAUUUACCUAGCCUCGCUCAGCGCAGGUCUGGUGGAAACGGCUCAGCGGAGCGAGGUUUUUAAAGUACAUGCUAAACAAGGGAAAAAUGUGUGCCAGGGACGGAAACAAACGAAAAAAUAGCAGUCACUAUACGCUGUUUGUCUGAAGUACAUUGUGUAGUUUAUGGAAACGAGCCAGCUACGAAUCCUCGCACCGCUCAGUGGCCUAGCACAUCUUCGGUAGAAACACUUACACCGUUUCACAGCCUCGCUACACAUGCUCGUACCGCCCAGCUGCCUCACACAUCUUUUGUGGAAACGCAGCCUUAAGCUUGCGUCCCUUACGCGCCUCUCAGCACACGAUCUCAAUUCUAUGUUUUUUAUAUCUAAAACGACCAGUAUUGUAUUUAAUAAAUAAAUUUAGUAAAUCGUGUUGCAUAUAUUUAACGAAUAAUUAUUCUGAAAUAUAUGGUAGUUUUUUUUAACUAUAAUACGAUUGUUAAUACAAAGCGCUGUUACCUAUAAAGUGCUACAUAGCGCCUAUAUUUUUGAAGUAUGGGUAACAUACGAACGAAGAUGUUGCUUUUCGCCAUGUAGAAAGCGCCAAAAGCUUUUUAUUGUUAUAAAUUAUUAAUUUGUGUUUAUGAUUCAUCUCGUGCUUGAGGGUGAAGGAAAACAUCGUGAGGAAACCUGCAUAUUCCGAAUUAUAUUUUACAACACGAGUCCUUAGCCCAGCGAUGGGACAUUCAUGGGCUGUUUGUUGAUGUAUUUUUUUUUUUCUUAUAAAAAGAUACCUUCUUGCUUUUUUAUUUAAAACGCUUUCAAAUGUGUACUGAUGCAUCGUUGAUCAUUAUGUCGAAAAUUCUAGAACGAAUUACGAGACAGAUACGAGCUGUAAGUUUGAUAAAUAACGUUGCUUAGCGGUUGUUUAGUUGAAAACAGAUUUCGCUCUUUCUUUCAUUAUUGAUUUGACAUUCGAAAGAAAAAGACAGCAUUUUUUAAAUUAUCACGCGCUAAAGUU